AGACAGCAGUCGCCGCGGGAAAACGUAGGUGGCAGGCGUUGUCCGGAAUUAUUGGGCGUAAAGGGCUCGCAGGCGGUUUCUUAAGUCUGAUGUGAAAGCCCCCGGCUCAACCGGGGAGGGUCAUUGGAAACUGGGAAACUUGAGUGCAGAAGAGGAGAGUGGAAUUCCACGUGUAGCGGUGAAAUGCGUUGAGAUGUGGAGGAACACCAGUGGCGAAGGCGACUCUCUGGUCUGUAACUGACGCUGAGGAGCGAAAGCGUGGGGAGCGAACAGGAUUAGAUACCCGGGUAGUCCCUGUCUCUUAUAC
RNAcentral lists this ribosomal RNA (307 nucleotides) under uncultured bacterium. RNAcentral describes it as "partial 16S ribosomal RNA". It matches the Rfam family "Bacterial small subunit ribosomal RNA", at positions 506 to 807 of the family's 1533-position model. The record is from RNAcentral.